RNAcentral lists this transfer RNA (68 nucleotides) under Balta maculata. RNAcentral describes it as "tRNA-Ala". The record is from RNAcentral. Lineage: Eukaryota; Metazoa; Arthropoda; Insecta; Blattodea; Pseudophyllodromiidae.
AGGGUUAUAGUUAAUUAUAACAUUUGGGUUGCAUUCAAAAAGUGUUGGAUAUCAUUCAACUUACCUUA